Molecule: ribosomal RNA, 506 nt
Filed under: uncultured bacterium
Lineage: Bacteria
Description: partial 16S ribosomal RNA
Rfam family: Bacterial small subunit ribosomal RNA
Source: RNAcentral
AUUGAACGCUGGCGGCAGGCCUAACACAUGCAAGUCGAACGGUAACAGGAAGCAGCUUGCUGCUUCGCUGACGAGUGGCGGACGGGUGAGUAAUGUCUGGGAAACUGCCUGAUGGAGGGGGAUAACUACUGGAAACGGUAGCUAAUACCGCAUAACGUCGCAAGACCAAAGAGGGGGACCUUCGGGCCUCUUGCCAUCGGAUGUGCCCAGAUGGGAUUAGCGAGUAGGUGGGGUAACGGCUCACCUAGGCGACGAUCCCUAGCUGGUCUGAGAGGAUGACCAGCCACACUGGAACUGAGACACGGUGCAGACUCCUACGGGAGGCAGAAGUGGGGAAUAUUGCACAAUGGGCGCAAGCCUGAUGCAGCCAUGCCGCGUGUAUGAAGAAGGCCCUCGGGUUGUAAAGUACUUUCAGCGGGGAGGAAGGCGAUAAGGUUAAUAACCUUGUCGAUUGACGUUACCCGCAGAAGAAGCACCGGCUAACUCCGUGCCAGCCGCCGCGGUAA